UAACGCUCUCCAACUGUUUUGGUACUUAUACAUCCUCUGCUUAAACGUUUAGCGUUCCUGGUGAAGGUAAAUGCAGAAAAGCGCUUCGGACACAUGAAAUUAAUAACUUGUUUUCAUUUUUUUAAUGUUCCCUAAUCAUUUUAAAUUUAACAGAAAGUAUAUAUGAUAUAUACAUAUCCAUAAGUAUAUUACCAUGAAUGGUUUUACACUAGUAAUUUUUGGGGCUCAUAAUAGAUUGCUAUUCGGUGUGAGCCAAUGCUCCGUGUUGAAGACCGUAUUUUGACCAAUAAUUUUUUACUCUUAUAGAUUGUGACUUGGAUUGAUAGUUGUCUCUUUGGCACUCAUUCCGUAUCUUCCUAUAUCUAUAUGAUGUAACAAAUAUGUUUAAUGUUUGUAUAUGCAUUUUUUUUAUGUAUACAUUGAUGUGUUUUUAAUCAGUCUCUCGAAUCACUUUUUAGAGUGAAUGAUGUAUAAACUUUGGUUUACCUUUUAUAUAUGCAUAUGUUUAAUAAAGUAUUUUUCUUGUCUUGUCAUGUCUAUACAAAAUAUAUA
This 552-nucleotide long non-coding RNA is filed under the name Mytilus galloprovincialis (Mediterranean mussel). The record is from RNAcentral. Lineage: Eukaryota; Metazoa; Mollusca; Bivalvia; Mytilida; Mytilidae.